GUGGGGAAUAUUGGGCAAUGGGCGCAAGCCUGACCCAGCGACGCCGCGUGGGGGAAGAAGUCUUUCGGGAUGUAAACCCUUGUUGUACGGGACGAAACGAAUGACGGUACCGUACGAGGAAGCCCCGGCAAACUACGUGCCAGCAGCCGCGGUAAUACGUAGGGGGCGAGCGUUGUCCGGAAUUACUGGGCGUAAAGCGCACGUAGGCGGGCUGUCAAGUCGGCCGUGAAAGGCACUGGCUCAACCGGUGUUUGUCGGUCGAUGCUGGCGGUCUGGAGUAUGGGAGAAGGAACUGGAACUCCCGGUGUAGCGGUGAAAUGCGUAGAUAUCGGGAGGAACACCAGUGGCGAAGGCGGGUUCCUAGCCCAUUACUGACGCUGAGAUGCGAAAGCCGGGGGAGCGAACGGGAUUAGAUACCCCUGUAGUCC
This 428-nucleotide ribosomal RNA is filed under the name uncultured bacterium. RNAcentral describes it as "partial 16S ribosomal RNA". It matches the Rfam family "Bacterial small subunit ribosomal RNA", at positions 354 to 796 of the family's 1533-position model. The record is from RNAcentral.